RNAcentral lists this transfer RNA (75 nucleotides) under Gimesia sp. RNAcentral describes it as "tRNA-Asp". It matches the Rfam family "tRNA". From Rfam's summary of the family: Transfer RNA (tRNA) molecules are approximately 80 nucleotides in length. Their secondary structure includes four short double-helical elements and three loops (D, anti-codon, and T loops). Lineage: Bacteria; Pseudomonadati; Planctomycetota; Planctomycetia; Planctomycetales; Planctomycetaceae. The record is from RNAcentral.
GUCCUCGUGGAGCAGUUCGGAGUGCUCGUCUGCCUGUCACGCAGAAGGUCGUGGGUUCAAAUCCCAUCGGGGACG